RNAcentral lists this small RNA (250 nucleotides) under Cryptococcus neoformans H99. Its description in RNAcentral is "Cryptococcus neoformans var. grubii H99 hypothetical RNA". The record is from RNAcentral. Lineage: Eukaryota; Fungi; Basidiomycota; Tremellomycetes; Tremellales; Cryptococcaceae.
GUUCGUUUGUCGGGGCAGCGAGAUGUGGACAUUUUUCUCUAUGCUUGGAAUUUGAUUGGGACUGCGCUCUUGGUUCUUGUGUCUGCGUUUGCGCAAUGUGGAUAAGCACCUUUGGUAUCACCAAUCGUUUGCGAACUUUCCAAAUAACUGCAGCCAAAACUUUGUUAACACAGUGGCUAUAACAAUAAUUGCGCUAUAAAUACACUCGAUUAUGACAUCCCGAAUGCAAUCUAUGAAAUAUAACAAAUCC